Molecule: long non-coding RNA, 535 nt
Filed under: Corvus moneduloides (New Caledonian crow)
Lineage: Eukaryota; Metazoa; Chordata; Aves; Passeriformes; Corvidae
Description: lncRNA (ENSCMUG00000018187.1)
Source: RNAcentral
AUCUCGAGAGGAUGAGUGGGAGUGCGUGCAUUAGAGGAUGUAUGUGGAAGUAAAACAGAUCCCUCAGGCCUGCUAGCCUAUCCUACUGCAUUUGUCAUUCCUGCCAGGGCGACAUUUUUUCCCCCUAAGCUUCUGCACACUAAAGAGAGUGAGAGCUUUUUCCCUGCAGUCUUCUUGAAGCCCCCCUGGUUUUUUUACUCAGUGUUGAAAAUGAGUCUGGAAGAAAAUUGGUGAAUCCAAUCCAGAGGACGUACAAGCACUCUGACAGGCUCAGAGAGCAGAGUCUGUACCAAAGAGCAAUUACCCCACCAAACGAUUUCAGUUUCUGGCUCUUUUACUCCAUUGCACUUUGCUUUCUCAUCUUGAUGCCUUGUUCUUUUCCUGGCAAGAAACUUGGAAGAUCAAUAAAAGCCAGGGGAAAAAUAGAUGCCAGAACAGCCUAAACUUCAUAAGGUAAUCUGUGGGAAAUAUUUUAAAUGAGGGCAAGGAUAUUGGAUUUGGGGCAAGACGAUAAUGAUGGUUAGAUUGAUUAGAA